AGAGUCUGAUCAUGGCUCAGGAUGAACGCUAGCUACAGGCUUAACACAUGCAAGUCGAGGGGCAGCAUGGUCUUAGCUUGCUAAGGCCGAUGGCGACCGGCGCACGGGUGAGUAACACGUAUCCAACCUGCCGUCUACUCUUGGACAGCCUUCUGAAAGGAAGAUUAAUACAAGAUGGCAUCAUGAGUCCGCAUGUUCACAUGAUUAAAGGUAUUCCGGUAGACGAUGGGGAUGCGUUCCAUUAGAUAGUAGGCGGGGUAACGGCCCACCUAGUCUUCGAUGGAUAGGGGUUCUGAGAGGAAGGUCCCCCACAUUGGAACUGAGACACGGUCCAAACUCCUACGGGAGGCAGCAGUGAGGAAUAUUGGCCAAUGGGCGAGAGCCUGAACCAGCCAAGUAGCGUGAAGGAUGACUGCCCUAUGGGUUGUAAACUUCUUUUAUAAAGGAAUAAAGUCGGGUAUGCAUACCCGUUUGCAUGUACUUUAUGAAUAAGGAUCGGCUAACUCCGUGCCAGCAGCCGCGGUAAUACGGAGGAUCCGAGCGUUAUCCGGAUUUAUUGGGUUUAAAGGGAGCGUAGAUGGAUGUUUAAGUCAGUUGUGAAAGUUUGCGGCUCAACCGUAAAAUUGCAGUUGAUACUGGAUAUCUUGAGUGCAGUUGAGGCAGGCGGAAUUCGUGGUGUAGCGGUGAAAUGCUUAGAUAUCACGAAGAACUCCGAUUGCGAAGGCAGCCUGCUAAGCUGCAACUGACAUUGAGGCUCGAAAGUGUGGGUAUCAAACAGGAUUAGAUACCCUGGUAGUCCACACGGUAAACGAUGAAUACUCGCUGUUUGCGAUAUACAGCAAGCAGCCAAGCGAAAGCGUUAAGUAUUCCACCUGGGGAGUACGCCGGCAACGGUGAAACUCAAAGGAAUUGACGGGGGCCCGCACAAGCGGAGGAACAUGUGGUUUAAUUCGAUGAUACGCGAGGAACCUUACCCGGGCUUAAAUUGCAGAUGAAUUACGGUGAAAGCCGUAAGCCGCAAGGCAUCUGUGAAGGUGCUGCAUGGUUGUCGUCAGCUCGUGCCGUGAGGUGUCGGCUUAAGUGCCAUAACGAGCGCAACCCUUGUUGUCAGUUACUAACAGGUUCUGCUGAGGACUCUGACAAGACUGCCAUCGUAAGAUGUGAGGAAGGUGGGGAUGACGUCAAAUCAGCACGGCCCUUACGUCCGGGGCUACACACGUGUUACAAUGGGGGGUACAGAGGGCCGCUACCACGCGAGUGGAUGCCAAUCCCCAAAACCUCUCUCAGUUCGGACUGGAGUCUGCAACCCGACUCCACGAAGCUGGAUUCGCUAGUAAUCGCGCAUCAGCCACGGCGCGGUGAAUACGUUCCCGGGCCUUGUACACACCGCCCGUCAAGCCAUGGGAGCCGGGGGUACCUGAAGUGCGUAACCGCGAGGAGCGCCCUAGGGUAAAACUGGUGACUGGGGCUAAGUCGUAACAAGGUA
This 1486-nucleotide ribosomal RNA is filed under the name metagenome. Its description in RNAcentral is "bacterial SSU rRNA". It matches the Rfam family "Bacterial small subunit ribosomal RNA". The record is from RNAcentral.